GUGUUGAGGUUACUGAACCAGCUGCUUUUGAUGUUAACCAGGAGAACAACCUUUCUUUAGUCGAGUAUGAACUGGUGAACGUGGAAGAAUAGACGUGCUCAUGGGAAAUGGUAGUUUGAAGUUACAGUCGAAUUCUUGUUCCAAUGUGAAUUAAUUAUUAUUAUGCAUAUCCGGAAUUUCAUUGGAUUAAUGAGCAAAGAUGCCCAUAUUUUUUAGCUCAUGAAGAUCCAAUACAAUCAACACCAUAUGAUGCUGUUGCUCUGUUCACUUGGUGGGUUAACUAGUUAUAUAGCGUGUUUUUCUUUUUUCUUAACUUUUUCAGUCAUUUCCCAUGUUGUACGAGGUGAAAAACCAGUUCCUAAGAAUGAGUAUUGAUGUCUUUGUAUUUCUAAACACACAUUGUAAAAGAAGCUAUCAAAACACACCAAAUUAUGCUAUGAAAACACACAAUGUAAAAGAAGCUGUUCGCUACUUGGUGUCAAUGUGGGGUCUGUGAACUUUUGUUACUCUCAUGUUACGACAAUUCGAGCUUGCUUGAUUGGAUUCCAUGAAAUUUGCGGCAAACAAAUGGGAUGAUUACAUUUGCAAAUCAAACAUAAGGGCUACUGAACGUUGUAUGCUCCCACUGGCCACUGUAGCUUGUUUAAUUUAAAUUUGCUAAUUGUGAUGAAGAAAAUCUCAUGAAGAUAACGUAUUUUUUGUUAAAAGAAGUCAAAUAUGGCCACCUAGCGUUUUAGUUUAGGAAAAAUGUCAAAAAAUAAACAACUACCUUACUAGAUGUUGCAACAGAGAUGCCGAAAAAUAAAUAGAAAAUAGAUGAAAAAGCGGUGCUUGAAAAUCUCUAGAUCUCAAUUUGCAUCUGAGAAAGCAAUUGCGGGGUGAAAAAUUAAAGGACAAAAGAAAGAUCUUAUUUAUAUACACAUUUAACACUGCAAGUUCUUUUAAUUUUAAUUCAUCCAGAUAAACAAUAAAAUAUUUUAGCUUGUUAGAAAUCACAAAUCAUCCAGAUAAAAACUCGCAAAUAAUUANUUGUCGUUGUUGGGGAAAUACUGGUUUAUUACAUCACACUGGGUCUGAUGUUGGGGAAAUACUGGUUUAUGCUAUUGAUUUGUUUGGCAUGCCUAUUUGACUGCAAUUGAUGAAUCAUUUGUGUAUUGAGAUUUGAGGUUGCCUACAAAAGAUGCAGAUAUAUAGGCUGAUGGCUAUUGGAGUUUGUCAUGCUUUGAACUGUUUGAUGUGGUUUUGUGCAUGAACAAGAGUACUUCCCUUUUUUUGGGUAAAUUGUUAAUGGUUUUAUAUUUGGAUAUUCACAUAUUUCCUUUUAUAAUCAGUUGAUAUAAUGAAGCCUGGGACAACUGUCAUUCUGCGAAAUGCGAAGAUAGACAUGUUCAAGGGUGCCAUGCGCCUUGCAGUAGACAAAUGGGGUCGUGUUGAGGUUACUGAACCAGCUGCUUUUGAUGUUAACCAGGAGAACAACCUUUCUUUAGUCGAGUAUGAACUGGUGAACGUGGAAGAAUAGACGUGCUCAUGGGAAAUGGUAGUUUGAAGUUACAGUCGAAUUCUUGUUCCAAUGUGAAUUAAUUAUUAUUAUGCAUAUCCGGAAUUUCAUUGGAUUAAUGAGCAAAGAUGCCCAUAUUUUUUAGCUCAUGAAGAUCCAAU
Molecule: long non-coding RNA, 1659 nt
Filed under: Solanum pimpinellifolium
Lineage: Eukaryota; Viridiplantae; Streptophyta; Magnoliopsida; Solanales; Solanaceae
Description: long non-coding RNA (SPIM_LNC000182)
Source: RNAcentral